This is a long non-coding RNA of Hevea brasiliensis (rubber tree), 665 nucleotides long. RefSeq lists it as uncharacterized. The transcript is spliced from 2 exons. The record is from RefSeq and is a predicted model, not a curated record. NCBI's taxonomy places the organism in Eukaryota, Viridiplantae, Streptophyta, Magnoliopsida, Malpighiales, Euphorbiaceae.
GUACCAGCACGCUCCACUCGUCGAGAGCUUCGCGGCGACAUAAAUUUCAAAUUUUUCCGACACCGUUUUUCGGUGGGUCCCACGGAACUUCGCAGUGUUUUUCCGAGCAUUAAAUGAGCUUAGAAAAUUCUGAAAAAUUUAUGUACUAACCCCCGUGUUAUGGGCUUCGUGUAGGUAUCCUCAAUUCGCGGAAAUUCGACAGUUGACCGGGUCUGCAAAUUUCGGGCCAGACAGACCCGUUACCGGAAAAGUCUCCGAAUUGGACCGAGGUUUUGGCUACCCCCCCAUUGUCAGACGUCCCGAGUGCGUCCCCGAAGUCGGAAUCGGCAAAGGUGAGCCGGGACAGCCUUCUUCCUCCGCCCAGCCGCCUCAGUGACCAUCGUCAAGUCUGUGAGUAGAAUAUUAAUUUUAAUUGUAAUUUCGAUAUUAUUAUAUGUUCAAGCAUGCCCAUGCAUCACUUAUAUGCAUAUAUUUAUGUAGUUAAACUCUAGGCACGAUUUAUGUUGCAUUCAUAACUGUUGAUGUGCCAUGGAUGUUGUUGUGGUAAUUUGGAGCAGUGUGCGUGCGUUGGCGUGCGUGUGAUGUGGUGUGGACUAUGGAUAGGACGGGGUAGUCACGGCUUGAGUAAUUCGCUGGGACCCUCGAUUUGGUUAUUAAGUGGAAGU